CAUGAACGCUGGCGGCGUGCCUAAUACAUGCAAGUCGAGCGGAAGGACGAUAAGCUUUUUCUUCUGCGGUUAGCGGCUGCCGGGUGUGUGACGCGUGGAUCACCAACUUCUAUGUCUGGGAGAACUUCGAGACACCGCAUCCCCUACCGCCAAAUAUGUUGAACCGCUUGGUUCAAUAGAGAAAGCCAGCUUUGCCGCCUCUUAUAGCCGGUUCCGCGCUGCAUUAGCUAGUUGGUAAAGUAACGGCUUACCAAGGCUACGAUGCGUAGCCGGCCUGAGAGGGUGAUCAGCCACACUGGAACUGAGACACGGUCCAGACUCCUACGGGAGGCAGCAGUGGGGAAUCUUCCACAAUGGGCGAAAGCCUGAUGCAGCAACGCCGCGUGAGUGAUGAAGGUCUUCGGGUCGUAAAACCCUGUUGUUAGGGAAGAACAGAAGCGGAAGUAACCCCCCCCGUCUUGACGGUACCCAAUCAGAAAGCAACGGCUAACUUCGUG
This 497-nucleotide ribosomal RNA is filed under the name uncultured bacterium. RNAcentral's name for it is "partial 16S ribosomal RNA". It matches the Rfam family "Bacterial small subunit ribosomal RNA", at positions 29 to 507 of the family's 1533-position model. The record is from RNAcentral.